This 472-nucleotide long non-coding RNA is filed under the name Oryza brachyantha (malo sina). RNAcentral describes it as "long non-coding RNA (OBRA_LNC003185)". Lineage: Eukaryota; Viridiplantae; Streptophyta; Magnoliopsida; Poales; Poaceae. The record is from RNAcentral.
GCUCACUUAUCGUUCUCACAAACCUCGUCAGAGUCUAUGUUAUAGCUGACUACAAAUAUAUAACCUAUUUUUCUUAUCUCAUCGACCUAAAUAGUAUCCUGAUAUGUAGCACGUAUACCAUCUACAUAACCUUACAGUUAUCACUCUACCAGUUCAUGGCGAGCUACACUAAACGGUCGCUCAACUAACCAGCAUCUUCAAUUAUGUUAGACCAUUUAGACCAUUGGACGGAGUAUGGAGGCUCGCCAUAGAUGUAUUCCCAAUGCCGCUUAUUCCAACUCGAUUCGCACCUCGUUUCAACUAGAGAAGAAAUGGAUCGACCAGGUUGGGCAAGAAGAGAUCGAUCGACCUGUUGUUCUCAUCCAAAGUAGAACAGCAAGAACAUUAGAAACUAUAUAUGCCCAACUGAUUAGGCGUGUGUAUGAACUGUGGAAGAAGUGAGCUGGUGAUAGGCUCCUAUAUGGACAGCGUG